AUACGGGAGGCAGCAGUGGGGAAUUUUGCGCAAUGGGGGAAACCCUGACGCAGCAACGCCGCGUGAGUGAUGAAGGCCUUCGGGUCGUAAAGCUCUGUCAGAGGGAAAGAAGUGUAAUAAUGCUAAUAUCAUUAUUACUUGACGGUACCCUCAAAGGAAGCACCGGCUAACUCCGUGCCAGCAGCCGCGGUAAUACGGAGGGUGCGAGCGUUGUUCGGAAUUAUUGGGCGUAAAGCGCGUGUAGGCGGUUUGGUAAGUCUGAUGUGAAAGCCCCGGGCUCAACCUGGGAAGUGCAUUGGAAACUGUCAGACUUGAAUACGGGAGAGGGUAGUGGAAUUCCUAGUGUAGGAGUGAAAUCCGUAGAUAUUAGGAGGAACACCGGUGGCGAAGGCGGCUACCUGGACCGAUAUUGACGCUGAAACGCGAAAGCGUGGGGAGCAAACAGGAUUAGAUACCCCGGUAA
Molecule: ribosomal RNA, 463 nt
Filed under: uncultured bacterium
Lineage: Bacteria
Description: bacterial SSU rRNA
Rfam family: Bacterial small subunit ribosomal RNA
Source: RNAcentral